Molecule: long non-coding RNA, 210 nt
Filed under: Elaeis guineensis (African oil palm)
Lineage: Eukaryota; Viridiplantae; Streptophyta; Magnoliopsida; Arecales; Arecaceae
Description: long non-coding RNA (EGUI_LNC008492)
Source: RNAcentral
UGAAAAAUUGAGCUGGCUCAGUACUUAGUUGACCUAAUGAAAUACUGAAGAAAAAUUGAGCUGAUCCAGUAUUUAGUCGAUCCAGUGAAAAACUUAGUUGGCUUAGUGACCCAUUACAUCUAGUUUUUUAUUUUACAGCUUUUUGUCCUCAUUAUCUUAUAACGACUACUUCGGCCCCUUCAAUGGCUAGAACGCUUCCUCCAGCCUCUG